CACGUAGGGGGCAAGCGUUGUCCGGAUUUAUUGGGCGUAAAGAGCUCGUAGGUGGUUCGGUAAGUCAGGUGUGAAACCUCCAGGCUCAACCUGGAGACGCCACUUGAUACUGCUGUGACUGGAGUCCGGUAGGGGAGCGUGGAAUUCCUGGUGUAGCGGUGAAAUGCGCAGAUAUCAGGAGGAACACCAAUGGCGAAGGCAGCUCGCUGGAACGGUACUGACGCUGUGGCGCGAAAGCGUGGGGAGCAAACAGG
This 254-nucleotide ribosomal RNA is filed under the name uncultured bacterium. Its description in RNAcentral is "partial 16S ribosomal RNA". It matches the Rfam family "Bacterial small subunit ribosomal RNA", at positions 524 to 776 of the family's 1533-position model. The record is from RNAcentral.